AUGGCUCUUCAGCUUUCUCAAUUUCGCCUCUCGAAGAAGACGUCCUCCGCGGUAGAAGCCUUUGUCGAUUUCCAAUCACCGCUGCCAUUUGACUCGUUACAAUCCUCUCUCCUCGUCUCUAGCUCGCGACACUCUCUUACUCCACCGUCUCUGACUUCGUUCCACUGUUCACCUUCUCAUCUCCAUUUUGACUUCAAUUGUUCCUCCAAUGCAUCUUUGCUCCUCAGAUUCCUCACUAUGAAACAAACACAUCAAAUCUCAUCACGCCAACCUCCGCUCAACUCUGUGAUUUUUCAUUCGCGGCUCCGCCUGUUCACUUCUCAAUCUUCUCCACUUCUUAUUCGUUACGCUUCACACCAUUGUCUCAUUUGA
This is a non-coding RNA of Vicia faba (fava bean), 372 nucleotides long. The record is from the annotation of a GenBank genome assembly. NCBI's taxonomy places the organism in Eukaryota, Viridiplantae, Streptophyta, Magnoliopsida, Fabales, Fabaceae.